Molecule: ribosomal RNA, 369 nt
Filed under: uncultured soil bacterium
Lineage: Bacteria
Description: bacterial SSU rRNA
Rfam family: Bacterial small subunit ribosomal RNA
Source: RNAcentral
AGAACGAACGCUGGCGGCAUGCCUAACACAUGCAAGUCGAACGAGACCUUCGGGUCUAGUGGCGCACGGGUGCGUAACGCGUGGGAAUCUGCCCUUGGGUUCGGAAUAACAGCGAGAAAUUGCUGCUAAUACCGGAUGAUGACGUAAGUCCAAAGAUUUAUCGCCCAAGGAUGAGCCCGCGUAGGAUUAGCUAGUUGGUGAGGUAAAGGCUCACCAAGGCGACGAUCUGUAGCUGGUUUGAGAGGACGACCAGCCACACUGGGACUGAGACACGGCCCAGACUCCUACGGGAGCAGCGAGUGGGAUUUGGACAAGUGGGGAACCUGAUCCAGCACGUCCGCGUGUGCGAUGGAAGGCCGUUACGGGUUA